AAUCUUGGACAAUGGGCGCAAGCCUGAUCCAGCCAUGCCGCGUGAGUGAUGAAGGCCUAGGGUCGUAAAGCUCUUUCGCCAGGGAUGAUAAUGACAGUACCUGGUAAAGAAACCCCGGCUAACUCCGUGCCAGCAGCCGCGGUAAUACGGAGGGGGUUAGCGUUGUUCGGAAUUACUGGGCGUAAAGCGCGCGUAGGCGGACUGGAAAGUUGGGGUGAAAUCCCGGGGCUCAACCCCGGAACUGCCUCCAAAACUACCCAGUCUUGAGUUCGAGAGAGGUGAGUGGAAUUCCGAGUGUAGAGGUGAAAAUUCGUAGAUAUUCGGAGGAACACCAGUGGCGAAGGCGGCUCACUGGCUCGAUACUGACGCUGAGGUGCGAAAGUGUGGGGAGCAAACAGGAUUAGAUACCCUGGUAG
Molecule: ribosomal RNA, 416 nt
Filed under: uncultured bacterium
Lineage: Bacteria
Description: bacterial SSU rRNA
Rfam family: Bacterial small subunit ribosomal RNA
Source: RNAcentral